AAGCCAUGCAUGCCUAAGUAUAAGCAAUCUAUACGGUGAAACUGCGAAUGGCUCAUUAAAUCAGUUAUCGUUUAUUUGAUAGUACCUUACUACUUGGAUAACCGUGGUAAUUCUAGAGCUAAUACAUGCUAAAAACCUCGACUUCGGAAGGGGUGUAUUUAUUAGAUAAAAAACCAAUGCCCUUCGGGGCUCCUUGGUGAUUCAUAAUAACUUAACGAAUCGCAUGGCCUUGUGCCGGCGAUGGUUCAUUCAAAUUUCUGCCCUAUCAACUUUCGAUGGUAGAGUAGUGGUCUACCAUGGUUU
RNAcentral lists this ribosomal RNA (303 nucleotides) under uncultured fungus. RNAcentral's name for it is "SSU rRNA". It matches the Rfam family "Eukaryotic small subunit ribosomal RNA", at positions 46 to 352 of the family's 1831-position model. The record is from RNAcentral. Lineage: Eukaryota; Fungi.